RNAcentral lists this ribosomal RNA (549 nucleotides) under Cetraria aculeata. RNAcentral's name for it is "SSU rRNA". It matches the Rfam family "Bacterial small subunit ribosomal RNA", at positions 356 to 929 of the family's 1533-position model. Lineage: Eukaryota; Fungi; Ascomycota; Lecanoromycetes; Lecanorales; Parmeliaceae. The record is from RNAcentral.
GAGGAAUGUAUAGCAAUAGCUACUUGCAUCAUUGUAAAUAUGAUGCAGGAUCGACUAUGUCGAAUAAAAUUCUAGGUAGAAUUAUGAUAAUGACAUUGUCUGCCUAUGUGUCUUGACCAAAUUACGUGCCAGCAGUCGCGGUAAUACGUAGAAGACUAGUGUUAUUCAUGUUUAAUCGGUUUAAAGGGUACCUAGACGGUAAAUCAAGCCUAAAAGGAAAUAAAUGAAGGGACUAAUUUACUAGAGUUACUUAUGAGGGGGUAUUAAAGUACUGCUGGUGUAGAGAUGAAAUUCUGUCAUACCUCUUUUCAAUAGAAAAAUAAUGGCACAGGUAUAGGCGAAAGCAUCCCCUUAUGUGAUAACUGACGUUGAGGGACGAAGGCUUUGUGUAGCGAACAGGAUUAGAUACCCCAGUAGUCAAAGCAGAAAAUGAUGAAUGUCAUAGAUUAGAUAUAUAAGUUUAUUCUAUAAAUGAAAGUGUAAGCAUUCCACCUCAAGAGUAAUUUGGCAACAUUGGAACUGAAAUCAUUAGACCGUUUCUGAAACCAG